GGGGAGGGGGAUCAGGGGGUUCCUGAUAAUGAAUGUGCACACAUCUAACCACAAAUUUCAACAGACUGGUUUAAAAUAUCAACACUUUCGGAAGAUUUAUGUGCAUGCGUAGCAGUGCUCCACUUGAGUUAGCAAAUAGAGGAGAAAUCAAUAAUGGCUAAACUGGAUUAAGAGGCCCCAGAAGGACGCUGAAGGGUUGGUAGGAUUCACACACCCACGCGAAGUCAUCAGAUGGAGGUAAUCUAGCACUUACAAACACAACCUGAAAUGAAAAACCAGUAUAAAGCGUGGGAUUAAUCUGGGGUGCAGGGCCAGUGCAGUUAGUAGAUUUUUACCUCCAGAAAGCCCUUCAUGCCCAAACAACCUUCAUGUUUUGUAGAAGCCCACAUAUAAUUUAAGGUAAUGUUUAUUCAAAUAAUAUGCUCUGUGUGACACUGAAAUGGUGUGUGUUAAAGACCCACUGGACCAAGCCCGCGUCCAGGGAACUUAAAAUCAACAGAGAUGCAGACAGAAAUAGUGCACACAGUUAAGCUAAUCAACACAAGAAACAAGGAAAAUUAUGGCAUACGGAAAAGCCUUUAUGGAAAGUGGAACAUUUUUUGAGUAAAAUUUGCUAUGUCUUUCCUGUGAGUCUGUUUCCCCACAGAGGUCGCCUGAACUAACAUGUAAGACCAGAGCUGGCCCAGGAGCUGUAGACCAAUGUUCUAGGAAUUUGCAUGAGGAGAAAAACUGUACAUUUCAUUGGAGGCAAUUCUUAUCUCCUGGCCCCUUUCUACAGAAAGUCAAGUGCUCUCCUGUUAGUAACAAAGUAGUAAAGAAAUGCUUUUAGUAAAAAAAACUAGCAUACUCUAAUUCUAGGCCCAGGUCAUUAUAUUUAGCGAGCAAAUCCAAGACCUAAAUAGCUUUCGUACACAAAUCUUGAAAAUAGAACCUUUGAUCAUAAACUUGCUUUUCUGUUCCCCAAAGUGAGGGAUGCUAUCAAUUAAAAAAAAUACUCUCUCCAAAAUCUAUUAAUCUUAGAGUGCCUAACCAAACAGACUGAUGACACUUUAUUCCUAUAUUUUAUUUCCUUCUCCUCCUCCUCUUCUUUUUUGAACAAGGAAACAAACCCAUAUCUAAUGUAUAUGACAAUUUCACACACUUCUUUCAUUUAAAUUAUUCUACCCUAAAUUAUACUCGAUUUCAAUCUUCUGCAUUACAGCAGGGGAAGUAGGGAGAGGAUAAAUUAAAUAAAGCAUUUUUUCUAAAAAUGAGCCAGAUAUCAAUACCAAUGUAAUCCCAAAAAGAGUACGAAGGAAAAAUGCACAAAAUAUGAAGAAAAUGUAUAUUCAAGACAAAACCUCUCCCCAUACAGGGAUAGUAAAUAGAAAUGUUAAAAAAGCAUGGGAGGAAGUUCCCAUGUAGCAUAGAGCGUUGCCACAACUAUGCUGCAGGUCCCAAAUGCGGCACGGGAUCAAUCCCUAGCCCUGGAAACUUCCACAUGCCAAACGCAUAGCCAAAAAAAAAAAAUAAGAACUGGAGACCCAAAGCCAAAGCUUCAACACCUAAAAGCAACUGAGGCUAUGAGGCUAGAACACAGGGCAAAGGAGCUGGCAGCUCAGUGGGUGGUAUGGGUCUCUGACAGUGCAAGGAAGGAACCCACUGGAAAUGUUCUGUGCAAGUCCACUGUUUCAUAGUUAAAGAAACAAACUAUAGACCACAUUCUCCUCUUUCCCCUCCUAGUAUUUAGAAAGGAAUGGAGAUUUUACCCAAACUAUCUCCCUUUGAGUUAAUCCCUAUUCAUAUUAGAUCAUCUGAUACUUACAAAAACACAAUAAAUGCAGAGAAUUUUGAGUUUAAAGUGCAAAAUAAUAAUAAUAGUAAAAAUUUUGCAAUAUUUCCUCUCCGGAAAUCUAGAAAAUAAAAGAGAGGAAACCUUCCAUAUGCUAAAGAAAAAGGUGCACAAACCUGAGUUUGGUAGGAGGGAGUGAGAGGGGAUGUGAAUAAUGGAGAAAUUCCCGUUCAACUUCUCUGAGGCACUGAUCUGAGAAAGACAGAAUUCCAGGCUCUCAAAUCACUGUCUGCCUGACUUAUAGACACUCUCUAAAUAUUAAGAAUCUUCCUAGGUGAGAACCCACACACAAGAGGAACGCACCAUUAACCAGCAAACAGUGUGUUCAGGAUGAGGGGCCUUCUGUUCAUUUACUGCUUUAGCUUUAACUUGGAUGGAAAGAAAUGAAGCCAGACUUUCCCUUUCCACUUCUCCUUCUUCGGUUUCACUCCCUUGUGAUUCAUGGGUCUGAAGAGGUUAACUCAAUUUUUUAAAAUACUAUUUUUUCAAGGAUAACAAAACACACAAGGAGCUAAUAAACAAAGAAGUGCAUAUUAUGACGAGCCAAGUGUCAGACCAUGAACCUCAGUAAGACGCUAGAAUAAAAAAAAUGAAAAGAAUGUAAGCUUUCAAUUUUGUGUUUUCAUUUUCUCUUCUCAUUUACCACUCAGCGCAACUAAGGAAAGCAACAAGAAUAGUGUGGUAAACAAUAGGCUAGAGUUCAAAUGGGCCAACUUCAAGUAUUUUCCUUUACUACAAGUAAAUCUUAAGGUGGGCCAGAAAGGAAGAGAAAUAAAUCAACAAUACCCACUGAUCAUCUCUAUGAGCAGAUCUCUGGUUUGCCUGUCUGAAGUGUUCAAUGGAACAUAAUUUGCCUAAAAGGAAAUUUGAAACUUAAAAGAAUUGGCUUGAAACUGAAAUUUAAAUAACAUCUUGAAAUCCCAAGUCAAAUACAUUAACAAAUGAUAAAGGUUUCUGUUGGAGGAAAAAUCCUAUAGAAGUGAAGUGAUUUUUAUAUAUUUCUUGUCAUGUAGUCACAAAACCAAACUGUUUCUACGUGAUUCUAAUUCUAAUCCUCUACAAUGGGAUCCUAGAUGGCUGGGUGGGUGGUUAUUUAAAAAAUGAGCAUUUUGGAGUUCCUGCAGCAGCACAGUGGAUUAAGAAUCUGACUGCAGCAGCUCCAGUUGCUACAGAGGUAUGGGGACAAUCCCUGGCCCAGUACAGUAGAUUAAAGGAUUUGUGGUGUUGUCAUAGCUGUGGCUCAUAUUCAGUCUCUGGUCUGGGAACCUCCCUAUGUUGUCAGCGCAGCCAUAAACUGGGGGAGGGGAGCAUUUUGCCACGCUGGAAAGAAACAAGACAAAAUUUGAAGGGAACAGAAAGAUCAUCUCACUGUCCACCUCAUUUGACAAAUGGCAUAGUUUACACUUUUAGAAGGAUCACCUUGUGAAUAGGAGCUUCUGAGAGUAAAAAAAUAAUCUUAAUAAACCAUAUGCGGAUUUGGGGCAUGAAGCCAAGAGUUCCUGGGUUCAGAAGGAAGGGCUGGAUUGGGCCAGUUCUGAGAUGCGGGAUUUGAAAGAGGUAGACUAGACUGCAACGGGUAGGCCCAGGUUUUGUGAGGAUGCAAGUCAUACAAUUUGGGGGCUUCACUUUAGGAAAAUAAUAUAAAAUUAUCAAUAAAAUGAAGUUUCAUUGUGAAUAUCAGAAUGACAAAUUAGAUCACAACAAAUCACCAUUGUCUUAAAGAUUUGCAUACUUUUCUUCUGAGAUAUCUUUAGUUUGGCAAAAAUGAGGAAAUAGAAGUGUUUUCUGAUUGCAACCCAGCUUCCCCUAUACAUGUGAAAAAAACCUACAACUCCCCAGCAUUCUCAGCACGCCCAUGCCUAUGAAGCUCAGAAUCUUGAGCUUCAGUAACUUCACAUUUUCCAGAAUUUCUCCUUAUAGGUGUAAAUCACCUUUAAGAAGGAUUCUACAUUAGAUGCCCAUUAAACCUAUUCAGUGCAGCUGGGCUAUGAAUCAGGCGAUGCAGACUUAAUUCUGAGCCCUGCUGCUGACACAAUGGGACACUGAGGCAAGGUACCUCUUUGGGCUUCAAUUUUCUCUGUGGUUAUACUACAUGCUCAUAAGAUGUCUUCCCAUUAUAAUACCAUUCAAUGCCCAGUACCUCAAUCUUCAAUGUCAUCAAGCUUACUAAACGCUACUGCCCUUGCUCAAGCUAGACCUCUGAGUCUUGCCUGAUUCCAAACCUCUCCUUUCUCCCCAAAUCCAAUCAGUCACUACAUCUUAUAAACCUCUCCCAUCUAACUUCACAUCAACCUGGUCUGGCCAGCACCACGCCUCUGACAUUUCUGCCAGCAUCUCAUCUCACUUUGCUCACUCUGUGCUGCUACCUCUAUAAUCUCUUUUAAAAUAACAGUCUUGGAGUUCCUGCUGUGAUGCAGCUGGUUAAGGAUCCAGCAUUUUCUCUGAGGCAGCUUAGAUUUGAUCUGUGCCCCAGCACAGCAAGUUAAGGAUUCGGUGCUGCUGCAGCUGUGGCUUGGAUUUGAUCCCUGGUCCAGGAACUUCCCAUGCCUAUGGCACAGCCAAAAAAUAAAUAUAUAAAAAAAUUAAGAUAUGAGUUCCCAUUGUGGUUUAGCAGGUUAAGAACCUAGCAUAAUCUCCAUGAGGACAUGGGUUCCAUCCCUUGGCCUUUCUCAAGGGGUUAAGGAUCCAGUGUUGCUGCAGGCUAUGGGGUAGGGAACGGAUGCAUCUCGGAUCCAGUAUUGCCAUGGCUGUGGCAUAAGCCUAAAGCUGCGGCUCUGAUUUCACCCCUAGCCUGGGAACAUUUAUGUGCCACACACAGGUGCAGCCUUAAAAAACAUAAAAAUAAAAAAAUAAAUAAAAACAGCAUUCAUGUCAUCUUCUCCCAAUCUUUAAAGCAUUUCUCUUGCUUCCCAUUUAAGUUUAAAUUUCAUAAUAUAACCUACAAGGACAAGUCAGAUACAGCUUCAAAUCAAAUCAAGUCAAAAAGGUAGGAACCAAUGCCUCUUUGACUCUCAUAUGUGACCUUAGACAUGGUGUUCUGCCAACCUAAAGAAUUUCAAUAUUUAUUGAUGGUCUGACUGACUGACCAUACGUAUAUUGAUGAUGAACUUUUCCAGGUAUAAAGAACAUGUUUCCGUUACAUGAGCAAUUAUUGUAGUAAGCUUUUAGAACAGAGUGUGAUCAAAACCCCCGACUAACUGCAACAUAAGAGCAGUGCCAUUUCAUGAAAUUCCAAUUUUAGGAAUGACAUUCCAGACACUCUGGAUUUCCACUUAGAAGCCCAAGCUGAUUAAAGGAUUAAAUGCUAUGGAUAAUUCAAUGCUGUGUAUCUCUUUGCGGAGGGCUGGGGAUUUGUAAAACAUGUCUAUGAUCCAAUCCAAAGGUUUAUUGAUUUUCUGUCCUUUCACCCAAGAGCGUUAGCUUUCAUGCACAGAUCUGUGAGAUAUCUGAAGGUUGGCCAGGACACUGCAGAAACCCACUUCCCAGUCUGUGAGUUUCUUCUGUCUAGGAAAGGACAGCUCUGGAUAAGUGUAAGUGCAUCAGAGUGCAGAUCUGAAAGCAGAGCCUGAAUGCCAGGUCUUCCAACAGUUUCCUGUGGGCCCCUCAACCCUACUUCCUCUGUGCAAUGGGGACCAAGCGAAAUCAAGUUGGUAUGGGUGGCAGAGUGAAGACAAAGUUAGAAGUCGAGAAGGUUCUGGUUACAGAGUCAAAUUUAAUUCCUUAAGUGACUUUAGUCAAUUCAUGGAACUGUUUUCUUUUCCCUAUCAAAUAGGAGUGAUAAAAUUAGAAUUCCCUUUUCUAACUAAAUGAUUAUCAUCAGUUUACUGAGUACUUAAAAUUUCUUGUCCCUCUGUUAAGCACUUUGCAUAACAUAAUCUCUAUGUAUUUUAAACUAUCCUAUGAAGUCAAUACUUUUUUUAUUAUUUUUAUGGUCUAUUUUCAGAUGGCAAAUCAGAGAGUUUAAGGAAUUUUCCUAACGUCAGCUAGCACACAAGUAGGAAAGCAAGGAUUGAAACCCAAAUAAACUGAGACCAGAGCUCAGGUGAUUAUCUACCAUGCUACAUGGCCUUUUUAGACAGGGAAAAAGAACAGCUUUAAAGAGUUUCAAAGAUUAUACUUGCUUUUUUAAUCAGCCAGAGGAAGCU
Molecule: long non-coding RNA, 5976 nt
Filed under: Sus scrofa (pig)
Lineage: Eukaryota; Metazoa; Chordata; Mammalia; Artiodactyla; Suidae
Description: lncRNA (ENSSSCG00005010886.1)
Source: RNAcentral